GGGAUCCUGUGGCUUUUUCUGGGAACACUGUCCUGGUCCUUUGCCCGGGUUUUAGGGAAGGAUGAGUAGUGUCGGGAUGGUGGAAGCAGGAGAAGAGAGCAGCGUGGUUUGCCGAGAUUAGGGGUGCUGAGAUUUAGGGGUCUUGGAUCUGCCACUGGCUCUUGAUAGGUCCCUGGGUGGUCAGUGGCCUCCAGAUUUUUGUUGUGUCUUCAGUGAAAUGAUGCUGGGCCCCACUGCCCAGCUCACCUCCUGGGGCUGUAGGAGGCACCGGAGAUAAUGGCUGCGGAGGGUCUUGUAACCUGAACAUUGCUUGCAAACGUAAGGAAUUCUAGUUACUGGGAGGAAGCACAGGGCAGAGGCCAGAAGAGGCCCUCAGAUUUGAGGCACCCUAGCCCGGACAGACAAGGAUCCACCAGCUCUGGGGGCGUGAGACCCAAGCUGGCAAGAAUCUGCAGCCUGGAGCCGAGGCUGUGGGUGCCUCAGUGGAGGCCGAGUCAGACUGAUGUGGCAGCUUUGACCCUCACGGCCUCCUUUCUUCUGUCCCUUGACCUUCGGCCCCUCCCUGUCCACCGUGGCCUCCGAGUCUCCUCCACUCUUCCUUCUGUCUCAGCCCUCAGCUCUAGGCGCCCCUCCAGAGACCCAGCUGUCUUCCCAGGCCCCCCCCAGCAAGGACUAGCUUCAUCUGAACCACACACACACUCACGGUUCAACCUCAGACUAAAAUUAUCCUCUCCCCUGGGCAGGAUGAAGGGCAGCCGACUCCCUGGUGAGGGUGGAGACAGACAGCACCAAAUGGUCAGGCCAGAGAAGGGGCCAGGGCUAAAAAUGGACAAGGAGGUGUUUGUGGAGGGCCCCUGCGGCUCCUGCGCCAUCGACGCGGGUUAGGGCUGGAGUCUGCAGGGUGGCGGGUGCAGGAAGGGAGGGUGGGGCAGGACUGGGAGGAGACUCGGACCUUGGCUGGCGGUGCCCUCCCUGUCCACACAGCUGGGUGUGGGGCCACUCAGCCACAGGCUGCAUGCCUGUCGGUCUUUUUCUGGCACCCUCCUUGAGGCCAGCAUCAGGCUUUGGGUUCGUAUUUGGGGGUGUGCCCUGGACGGAGUGUGGGCUUCCAGCCAGGCUGCCCCACUGGCAGUUUGGCAAAGCCAGGACCUAUCUGGAAGCCGAAGCCAGGGAUCACCAGGUGGACCCAGCAGGGUGGGACUGAGUGACUGACCCUGGGGUGUUGGAUUCCAUCUGGCCCCCGGCUGCCUUCAAACAGGUGUUCAGUGGAAAGCGACUGGAGGCUGAGUUCCCCGCUCAUCACUCUCAGAGCACCUUCCGGAAGACCUCGCCCGCCCCUGGGGGCCCAGCAGGGGAGGGACCCCUGCAGAGCCUUACCUGCCUCAUUGGGGAGAAGGACCUGCGCCUCCUGGAGAAGCUGGGCGAUGGCUCCUUUGGCGUGGUGCGCAGGGGCGAGUGGGACGCGCCCUCAGGGAAGACGGUGAGCUCUCUGUGUCCUGCCAGUGCAGCAGAGGCAUGGGACCUGGGGCUGGUAGUGGCUCUUCUGCCCCCAACCAGGAUGUGGAUGGGACCGGGGACGCGUCACAGUGUGGCUCAUCCCAGAGUCCAUGCUCAAGAUUUUUGGGGUUUUAUUUAUUUAUUUUUUUGAGACGGAGUCUCGCUCUGUCGCCCAGGCUGGAGCGCAAUAGGCACGAUCUUGGCUCCCUGCAACCUCCACUUUCUGGGUUCAAGAGAUCCUCCUGCCUCAGCCUCCUGAGUAGCUGGGAUUACAGGUGCGCGCCACCACACCCAGCUAGUUUCUGUCUUUUUAGUAGAGAUGGGGUUUCACCAUGUUGGCCAGGCUGGUCUCAAACCCCUGACCUCAGGUGAUCUGCCCACCUUAGCCUCCCAAAGUGCUGGGAUUACAGAUGUGAGCCACUAUGCCCAGCCCAUGCUCAGGUUUAACUAAGCACAUUUAUUAUUUCAACUAUAAAAAUAAUUUACUUAUUAUAAAAUUUGGAAAGUAUUUGAAAAACAAGAAAAAAAAGUUGCGUGUAAUCCCACCAGUCAGAGGAAGCCGAGUUGGCAUUUCUGCCUCUUCCUCCCACUUUAGGUAUUUUGUUGGAUUUAGUUAAGAUACAAAUUCUGGAUACAGCUUUUAAAAUCUUGUUCUUUCUUCUCGGCAUUGCAUUUAACAUUUUCCCCUCAGGGAUAACGUGUGCACCACAGCAUACAGUUCUGGUGUGAGUGUUUCCUAUGCAGGAGCCGUGUCCUUACUGCUCAGAUCACGUGUGGUGCAUUCCCGGCACCUCAGAGGGCUCCUCAUGCUCCGUCCACUCAGUGCAUCCUUCUCCUGGGGAAGCUGCUGUCACUCAGUGCGUCCUUCUCCUGGGGAAGUCGCUGUGCCGACUUCUAGCUCCACACGUUUGUUUUUGGCAUUACAUUUAAAGCAUUUUCCUUCUACAGCAAAAUACCUUUUAAUAUUCCAUUUUAUGACCAGCCUGAGCAAUAUGGAGAAACCCCAUCUCUACUAAAAUACAAAAUUAGCCAGGCGUGGUGGCACCUGCCUGUAAUCCCAGCUACUCAGGAGGCUGAGGCAGGAGAAUCACUUGAACCCGGGAGGCAGAGGUUGCAGUGAGCUGAGAUCACGUCACUGCACUCCAGCCUGGGCGACAAGAGCGAGACUCUGUCUCAAAAAAAAAAAUCCAUUUUAUAACAUUUGAAUAUUCUGUCAUCAUACUGGUUAUCUCUUACUUUUUGGUUGGUAUUGAAGCCUGGCAUUCCCCCAGGAAGGGGAGGCGUGGCCGACGAUGGCUCCCGAGGGCCAGCCGUCUGCCCUUCUCCAGCCAGGCCUCACGCAGAGCACGUAAGCCCAGACACUGGUGACAUGCUUACCCACCCAGAUGAGGAGCUCGGAGGCAGGGAUCGUUGAGUCAAAUUGGAGGGUGGAGCAGGUUGGCUCCUCGUGUCCGGGACCUGGCAAGUCCUGAGUCCUUGCAAAUCCUGCUCUGGGCAGGUGAGUGUGGCUGUGAAGUGCCUGAAGCCCGAUGUCCUGAGCCAGCCGGAAGCCAUGGACGACUUCAUCCGGGAGGUCAAUGCUAUGCACUCGCUCGACCACCGAAACCUCAUCCGCCUCUACGGGGUGGUGCUCACGCCGCCCAUGAAGAUGGUGACAGAGCUGGCACCUCUGGGAUCGUUGUUGGACCGGCUACGUAAGCACCAGGGCCACUUCCUCCUGGGGACUCUGAGCCGCUACGCUGUGCAGGUGGCUGAGGGCAUGGGCUACCUGGAGUCCAAGCGCUUUAUUCACCGUGACCUGGCUGCCCGCAAUCUGCUGUUGGCUACCCGCGACCUGGUCAAGAUCGGGGACUUUGGGCUGAUGCGAGCACUACCUCAGAAUGACGACCAUUACGUCAUGCAGGAACAUCGCAAGGUGCCCUUCGCCUGGUGUGCCCCUGAGAGCCUGAAGACACGCACCUUCUCCCAUGCCAGCGACACCUGGAUGUUCGGGGUGACACUGUGGGAAAUGUUCACCUACGGCCAGGAGCCCUGGAUCGGCCUCAACGGCAGUCAGAUCCUGCAUAAGAUCGACAAAGAGGGGGAGCGGCUGCCUCGGCCCGAGGACUGUCCCCAGGACAUCUACAAUGUCAUGGUCCAGUGCUGGGCUCACAAGCCAGAGGACAGACCCACGUUUGUGGCCCUGCGGGACUUCCUGCUGGAGGCCCAGCCCACGGACAUGCGGGCCCUUCAGGACUUUGAGGAAGCGGACAAGCUGCACAUCCAGAUGAAUGAUGUCAUCACCGUUAUCGAGGGAAGGGCCGAGAACUACUGGUGGCGUGGCCAGAACACGCGGACGCUGUGUGUGGGGCCCUUCCCUCGCAACGUGGUGACCUCCGUGGCCGGCCUGUCGGCCCAGGACAUCAGCCAGCCCCUGCAGAACAGCUUCAUCCACACGGGGCAUGGCGACAGUGACCCCCGCCACUGCUGGGGCUUCCCGGACAGGAUUGACGAACUGUAUCUGGGAAACCCCCUGGACCCCCCCGACCUGCUGAGCGUGGAACUGAGCACCUCCCGGCCCCCCCAGCAUCUAGGAGGGGUGAAAAGUAAGAGCUCCCCUCUGCUCCCUAGUGUCCCUAACUCAUCGGCUGCUCAGGAAGGGGCACUGUCUUCACAGACCACCCUGAGCCUGCUGUUCUGGCUCUGGGGACAGUGGGGUCAGGGCAGCAGGCGGGACAGCUGUGUCCCUGGCUCCCGCUGGGCGUGGGGUGGAAGACAGGCAGCUGUAUCCGCCGAGGUGGGCCUCCUCGAGCUGGGUCUGCAGCAAGCCCGUCUGCCCUGGAGUCCCUCCUCCCUCCUUCCACAGCCGAGCUCAGAUUCUGGCUUUCCUCACUUCCCCCUAACCCUGCUCUCCUGUCCCAAUCCAAAACCACCCCAUGGCUCCGGCUCCACCUAGAGCCUCCUCCAUCUCCCGGUCCUCUGCCUGUCAUACCGGACCGCCGUGUUCCUCAUCCUGCCGCCCACGGCCUCCCGUUUGCUGGGGGCUUGUACACUCACCCGCCCCCAUUCACUUCUCUCCCUUCCUGUUUCUCUACACUCUGUCCUCUCGUCCGGCCGUCUCCCUCCUUUGUCCUCUGUCCUGCUCCGUCCCUCUCCCCCUGUCCGCAUGGCCUUUCUUGCAGGGGAGCCUCCACCUCGCCCACCUCAGCCUGCCUUCUUCACUCAGAGUAAGUGGGGCUGCUUCCGAUGCCUUGGCCCCCGCCCCCGCCCCCUCUCUCUCACUCCUCUCCUGGAAGGUACAGAGCCCGGGCGGCUGGGCCGGAGGGGAGGUGGGUGUGUGCUGUGAGCUUCCGCGGCUGCCCUGGCCUAGCGUGCCUGCCUCCCGAGCCUGCCCCCCGGAGCCUGGGCUUCUGGAGCACGAGUGUGGCCCUGGCUUCCGCCUCGGCCUCACUCCCUCCCAGACCUGCAGGCGCUCUCUGGGCUUCGUGGCCCUUGGUCAGGAGUGCUGUUCUCUCCAAGGAUAGUUCCUAUAGCCCCUGAUGGCAGGAGGCGGCUCCGUGCCUGCACUAAUGGUGUGCCGUGACGGGGGCGGGGAUGAGGGCUUACUAACUCACCCGGGCACAGGAGCAGGGCUGCGGGGUCUUGUGCUGAUGGAGGCAGCAGCCAGUGUUGCUUGCUCCAGCUUAGACGGAGGGAAGCGGGGCUCACCGGCCCGCACGGGGCUGCCGCGCAGAGCAGGUUCCGCCCUCCUGAUGGAGUGGUCGGAGGUGCGCUGAGAACCUGGCCGCCGAUGGCUGACCUCAGACCUCGGGGGGAGCUGGGAGUGGAGGGUUGCUGGGGGACACUCGGCUUUCUUUCCCAUGUGCCACCUCCCCUCGUGCCCCGACCCUGCCUGACUGCCUUCCUGUUGGGGUCUCCCUUUCCAUCACAGAACCAACCUAUGACCCUGUGAGCGAAGACCAAGACCCCCUGUCCAGCGACUUCAAGAGGCUGGGCCUGCGGAAGCCAGGCCUGCCCCGAGGGCUGUGGCUGGCGAAGCCCUCGGCGCGCGUGCCGGGCACCAAGGCCGGCCGAGGCAGCGGGGCUGAGGUCACGCUCAUCGACUUUGGUGAGGAGCCCGUGGUCCCGGCCCUACGGCCCUGUGCGCCCUCCCUGGCGCAGCUGGCCAUGGACGCCUGCUCCCUGCUGGACGAGACCCCGCCUCAGAGCCCCACGCGGGCACUGCCCCGGCCCCUGCACCCCACGCCUGUGGUGGACUGGGACGCACGCCCGCUGCCUCCCCCGCCCGCUUAUGACGAUGUGGCCCAGGAUGAGGAUGACUUUGAGGUCUGCUCCAUCAACAGCACCCCGGUGGGCGCGGGGGUCCCUGCCGGGCCCAGCCAGGGCCAGACCAACUACGCAUUUGUGCCUGAGCAG
This 5892-nucleotide small RNA is filed under the name Pongo abelii (Sumatran orangutan). RNAcentral's name for it is "retained intron". Lineage: Eukaryota; Metazoa; Chordata; Mammalia; Primates; Hominidae. The record is from RNAcentral.